CGACCGGCGCACGGGUGAGUAACACGUAUCCAACCUGCCCUUUACUCGGGGAUAGCCUUUCGAAAGAAAGAUUAAUACCCGAUGGCAUAAUGAUUCCGCAUGGUUUCAUUAUUAAAGGAUUCCGGUAAAGGAUGGGGAUGCGUUCCAUUAGGUAGUUGGUGAGGUAACGGCCCACCAAGCCUACGAUCGGUAGCCGGACUGAGAGGUUGAUCGGCCACAUUGGGACUGAGACACGGCCCAGACUCCUACGGGAGGCAGCAUG
Molecule: ribosomal RNA, 262 nt
Filed under: uncultured bacterium
Lineage: Bacteria
Description: partial 16S ribosomal RNA
Rfam family: Bacterial small subunit ribosomal RNA
Source: RNAcentral